This 515-nucleotide ribosomal RNA is filed under the name uncultured bacterium. RNAcentral describes it as "partial 16S ribosomal RNA". It matches the Rfam family "Bacterial small subunit ribosomal RNA", at positions 28 to 523 of the family's 1533-position model. The record is from RNAcentral.
GACGAACGCUGGCGGCGUGCCUAAUACAUGCAAGUCGAGCGGACUUUCAAGAAGCUUGCUUUUUGAAAGUUAGCGGCGGACGGGUGAGUAACACGUGGGCAACCUGCCUGUAAGACGGGGAUAACUCCGGGAAACCGGGGCUAAUACCGGAUAAUAUCUUUCUUCGCAUGAAGUAAGGUUGAAAGGCGGCGCAAGCUGCCGCUUGCAGAUGGGCCCGCGGCGCAUUAGCUAGUUGGUGAGGUAACGGCUCACCAAGGCGACGAUGCGUAGCCGACCUGAGAGAGUGAUCGGCCACACUGGGACUGAGACACGGCCCAGACUCCUACGGGAGGCAGCAGUAGGGAAUCUUCCGCAAUGGACGAAAGUCUGACGGAGCAACGCCGCGUGAGCGAAGAAGGUCUUCGGAUCGUAAAGCUCUGUUGUCAGGGAAGAACAAGUACCGUUCGAAUAGGGCGGUACCUUGACGGUACCUGACCAGAAAGCCACGGCUAACUACGUGCCAGCAGCCGCGGUAA